Molecule: RNA transcript, 2370 nt
Organism: Nicotiana attenuata
Lineage: Eukaryota; Viridiplantae; Streptophyta; Magnoliopsida; Solanales; Solanaceae
Gene name: DELLA protein GAI-like
Exons: 1
Source: RefSeq, a predicted model, not a curated record
AAAAUAAAGCCCACAUUAUUGCUUGCCUCUUCUCUUCCUUAUCUUCUCUUGAAGCUCGCGCCCUCUUCACGAGCACUUCCUCUUACUACUCUCUGCUCUAUCUCACAACUCCCAAACAACAAAAAAAAUAUUCAAAAUUAAAAAAAAGAAACAAAUCAGUCCCCAAAAAUCUGAUAGUUGAUGCAAAAACCAAGCAGAAAAAUCAGACCUUUUUCUUCAUCAAACUCCUCCAUUCAUCAUCCAGCUUUCUUGAAAUCCAAUUCCUUGUCAAAAUCCAGCACUUGUCACAAACACCCAAUAAUCUGAAAAAAAAAUCCCAAAAAAGAAAAAAGUAAAAAGAAAAACCCCAUUAGAGAAAAUCCCAAGAAAAUGAAGAGAGAUCGUGAUAGAGAAAAUUCCCAAGAUGGUUCUUCUUCUAGUAAAUCCAAGAUUUUUGAAGAAGAACAACCAGAUGCUGGAAUGGAUGAGCUUUUAGCUGUUUUAGGUUAUAAAGUUAAAUCUUCAGAUCUGGCUGAAGUUGCACAACAACUUGAACAACUUGAGAUGGCUAUGUGUACAACAUUAGAAGAUGGAAUUUCUCAUCUUUCUACUGAUACAGUUCAUAAAAAUCCUUCUGAUCUUUCUGGUUGGGUACAAAGCAUGUUAUCUGAGCUCAAUAAUACUUCAGUUCCCUCUAAUUUUGACAUGAUUGGUAGUAUUGAAGAAAAAGAUUUAGGUGAAUCUUCUAGUAAUAUUGUUAUCAAUGAGCAAAACAGAAUUAUUUCUGAUGAUGAUUUGAGAGCAAUUCCAGGUGGAGCUGUGUUUGCAACAGAGAGUAAUAAAAGACAGAGAUCUUGUGUUCCACUAACAACAGAUGCAACAACAAGGCCAGUUGUACUUGUAGAUUCACAAGAAACUGGUGUUCGACUUGUGCACACAUUAAUGGCGUGUGCUGAAGCUGUCCAACAAGAGAAUUUUAAUGUAGCUGAUGCGCUUGUUAGACACAUUGGAAUUCUUGCUGUUUCACAAUCUGGUGCUAUGAGAAAAGUUGCUACUUAUUUUGCUGAAGCAUUAGCUCGACGAAUCUAUAAAAUUUACCCACAAGAUUCAAUUGAAUCAUCUUAUACUGAUGUGUUACAGAUGCACUUUUACGAAACUUGUCCAUAUCUCAAAUUUGCUCAUUUCACUGCAAAUCAAGCAAUUCUUGAAGCUUUUACUAAUUGCAAUAAAGUCCAUGUGAUUGAUUUCAGUUUAAAACAAGGUAUGCAAUGGCCAGCAUUAAUUCAAGCUUUAGCUUUACGUCCAGGUGGACCGCCAGCAUUUAGGCUUACUGGAAUUGGACCUCCACAGCCUGAUAAUACUGACGCUUUGCAACAAGUUGGGUGGAAGUUAGCGCAAUUAGCUGAAACUAUUGGGGUCGAAUUUGAAUUUCGAGGAUUUGUAACAAACUCAUUAGCUGAUCUUGAUGCUGAGAUUCUUGAUUUAAGGUCAAGUACUGAAACAGAAGUGGUGGCUGUUAAUUCAGUUUUUGAGCUACAUAGAUUAUUAGCAAGACCUGGGGCUGUAGAAAAAGUGUUGAAUUCGAUCAAACAAAUGAACCCGAAAAUCGUGACGAUUNGGACAGGUUUAACGAGGCAUUACAUUAUUAUUCAACAAUGUUUGAUUCGUUAGAGAGUUCAGUAUCAACAUCAUCCACUGGGUUGACUCAGCCGAUUGUUAACAGUCAAGAUUUGGUUAUGUCUGAGGUGUAUUUAGGGAGACAGAUAUGUAACGUGGUGGCUUGUGAAGGUGUGGACCGAGUUGAGCGACACGAGACGCUGAGUCAGUGGCGAGUUAGGAUGAACUCGGCCGGGUUCAAUCCGGUUCAUCUCGGUUCGAAUGCGUUUAAGCAGGCUAGUAUGCUGUUGGCGUUGUUUGCGGGCGGCGAUGGUUACAGAGUUGAAGAGAACGAUGGGUGUCUUAUGUUGGGUUGGCAUACUCGGCCACUCAUCGCCACCUCCGCGUGGGGGCUCAAGGCGGCUGUUGACGCCGAGUGGUAGUGAGUCAACUCAGUGAGGAAACUUAGUCAACUCGGGUACCCCACCCCCCUUUUCCCUCCCCUCACAUGGUGAAUUAUCAGUGAUGUUGAUGAGCGUGGGUGGGUGGGUGGUGAUUGUAAUGUGAGGGACAAUGAGAGAGACGUGCCCAAAAAUGAGUCGAAUCAUGUCUUUUACCUUUUAACCUCUUUAUAAACCAGCAUUUUUUUUUUUUUUACUUUUUUACUUUUAACCACUUUAUAUUUUGUUGUAUGUAGUAGUAGUAUUUAUUGUUUUUCUUUUCUUUUUUGCCUUUUGUGGGUCUGGUUAGAUUUCCCCCUUUUUACUUGGCCGCAAUAAAAAGGCAAGAGCAUGA